Molecule: small RNA, 1100 nt
Filed under: Pan troglodytes (chimpanzee)
Lineage: Eukaryota; Metazoa; Chordata; Mammalia; Primates; Hominidae
Description: retained intron
Source: RNAcentral
GGCAUCAUUGCUAAGGCGGUGAGUACCCUGCCCGAGUCCCUGGGUAACCCAAACAGAAGUCUCACUGUCCCCCUUGCCAUGUGUCCCUGAUCACUUGCAGGCACUCCCUACACUAGAAACUCCUCCCCUACCAGCAGCCCGACUUGCUAGCUUAGGUCUCCAUCCAGCGUAGACUGAACUCUGGUUGUAUGCAAAACCCAUCCCUCUGGCGCAAGCCCAGCCCCUCUCCUAGGGAGACUGCAGAACCACACUGAACCACAGUGGGAUGCAUGGACCCUCUUCCAGGUAGAUCAUGCCACUAAUCGUACCCAGUUUGGGGAGAAAAUUCACAACUUUGGGCUGAUCCAGGAGAAGCUGGCACGGAUGGUUAUGCUGCAGUAUGUAACUGAGUCCAUGGCUUACAUGGUGAGUGCUAACAUGGACCAGGGAGCCACGGACUUCCAGAUAGAGGCCGCCAUCAGCAAAAUCUUUGGCUCGGAGGCAGCCUGGAAGGUGACAGAUGAAUGCAUCCAAAUCAUGGGGGGAACCUGGAGUAGAGCGUGUGCUCCGAGAUCUUCGCGUCUUCCGGAUCUUUGAGGGGACAAAUGACAUUCUUCGGCUGUUUGUGGCUCUGCAGGGCUGUAUGGUAAGAGAGAGAAUUGGGUGGGGGUAGAGGUGGGGAGGACAGUGAGUCCUGACUGCUGGACCCUCUUCCCCCAUAGGACAAAGGAAAGGAGCUCUCUGGGCUUGGCAGUGCUCUAAAGAAUCCCUUUGGGAAUGCUGGCCUCCUGCUAGGAGAGGCAGGCAAACAGCUGAGGCGGUAGGCUUAGGGCCAGAGCCAGGGGAGGGCAGGGUGGUGUAUGGCAACUAACCAGUCAUUCUCCCUCUUCCUCUCAGGCGGGCAGGGCUGGGCAGCGGCCUGAGUCUCAGUGGACUUGUCCACCCAGAGUUGAGUCGGAGCGGCGAGCUGGCAGUACAGGCUCUGGAGCAGUUUGCCACUGUGGUGGAGGCCAAGCUGAUAAAACACAAGAAGGGGAUUGUCAAUGAACAGUUUCUGCUGCAGCGGCUGGCAGACGGGGCCAUCGACCUCUAUGCCAUGGUGGUGGUUCUCUCGAGGGCCU